GAAAUAUGCAACCCAAAGAUAAGCUUCUAACUUAAUCUUUAAGCUGUGAAAUUCAGUUUAUAUUUCU
Molecule: transfer RNA, 67 nt
Filed under: Cucujoidea sp. 43 KM-2017
Lineage: Eukaryota; Metazoa; Arthropoda; Insecta; Coleoptera
Description: tRNA-Ser
Source: RNAcentral